UGCCAGCAGCCGCGGUAAUACGGAAGGUCCAAGCGUUAAUCGGAAUUACUGGGCGUAAAGCGCGCGUAGGUGGUUUAUUAAGUUGGAUGUGAAAUCCCCGGGCUCAACCUGGGAACUGCAUCCAAAACUGAUUCACUAGAGUACGAUAGAGGGAGGUAGAAUUCACAGUGUAGCGGUGGAAUGCGUAGAUAUUGUGAAGAAUACCAAUGGCGAAGGCAGCCUCCUGGAUCUGUACUGACACUGAGGUGCGAAAGCGUGGGUAGCGAACAGGAUUAGAUACCCUGGUAGUCCACGCCGUAAACGAUGUCAACUAGCUGUUGGGGAACUAUGUUCUUCAGUGGCGCAGCUAACGUAGUAAGUUGACCGCCUGGGGAGUACCGGCCGCAAGGCUAAAACUCAAAUGAAUUGACGGGGACCCGCACAAGCGGUGGAACAUGUGGUUUAAUUCGAUGCAACGCGAAAAACCUUACCUAUACUUGACAUACCUGGAAUGCUUUGUAAUGAAGUAGUGCCUUCGGGAGCCAGGAUACAGGUGCUGCAUGGCUGUCGUCAGCUCGUGUCGUGAGAUGUUCCGUUAAGUCGGAUAACGAGCGCAACCCUUACCCUUAUUUGCCAGCGAUUCGGUCGGGAACUAUAAGGGACUGCCGGUGAUAAACCGGAGGA
RNAcentral lists this ribosomal RNA (663 nucleotides) under uncultured gamma proteobacterium kpj278f. Its description in RNAcentral is "bacterial SSU rRNA". It matches the Rfam family "Bacterial small subunit ribosomal RNA", at positions 506 to 1170 of the family's 1533-position model. The record is from RNAcentral. Lineage: Bacteria; Pseudomonadati; Pseudomonadota; Gammaproteobacteria.